Molecule: ribosomal RNA, 119 nt
Organism: Podarcis muralis (Common wall lizard)
Lineage: Eukaryota; Metazoa; Chordata; Lepidosauria; Squamata; Lacertidae
Source: Ensembl
UUCUACGGCCAUACUACCCUGAACACGCCCAAUCUCGUCUGAUCUCGGAAGCUAAGCAGGGUCAGGCCUGGUUAGUAUUUGGAUGGGAGACCGCCUGGGAAUACCGGGUGCCGUAGGCU